RNAcentral lists this unclassified non-coding RNA (298 nucleotides) under Hevea brasiliensis (rubber tree). The record is from RNAcentral. Lineage: Eukaryota; Viridiplantae; Streptophyta; Magnoliopsida; Malpighiales; Euphorbiaceae.
GCCUCCCUUGCAGCCUCAUCACUUCAAUUCAAUUCAAAAACAAUUCAAACGCACACAUAAUAGAACAUUUGAUUCUAUAGUCUAUUAAAAUCUGAAGCUUGGAAUUUGCAUGGAUCCAAACUCAACGAGACAGCAGAUUAGAAACAUAUAAUCUAUAAAUUAAUGGUUUUGCCUCUGAAAAUGCAGUAAAAUUAACUAAAGUAUUUGUUGCAUGCAUGCAAGAGAAAUUAUCUUGGCAAACAUGGAUCAUUGAUUUUUAAGCUCUGCAUUGAAUUUUGGUUCGAAUUAACAACAAUGG